Molecule: ribosomal RNA, 253 nt
Filed under: uncultured bacterium
Lineage: Bacteria
Description: partial 16S ribosomal RNA
Rfam family: Bacterial small subunit ribosomal RNA
Source: RNAcentral
UACGUAGGGUGCGAGCGUUGUCCGGAAUUACUGGGCGUAAAGAGCUCGUAGGUGGUUUGUCGCGUUGUUCGUGAAAACUCACAGCUUAACUGUGGGCGUGCGGGCGAUACGGGCAGACUGGAGUACUGCAGGGGAGACUUGAAUUCCUGGUGUAGCGGUGGAAUGCGCAGAUAUCAGGAGGAACACCGGUGGCGAAGGCGGGUCUCUGGGCAGUAACUGACGCUGAGGAGCGAAAGCGUGGGGAGCGAACAGG